This 251-nucleotide unclassified non-coding RNA is filed under the name Hevea brasiliensis (rubber tree). The record is from RNAcentral. Lineage: Eukaryota; Viridiplantae; Streptophyta; Magnoliopsida; Malpighiales; Euphorbiaceae.
GAAGAUCACAAAUCUUCAUCUAAGAUCGGAAAUGAUUACUAUGGGCCAUCCACAGAUGGCAAACCAGCCUCAUGUAAUCAAUCAGUCCCAAGUUAUGAACCAGCCUCAGUCUCAAGUUAUGAACCAGCCACAGGUGAUUAAUCAACCUCAAUUUCUGAACCAAGGCCAGCUAAUGAACCAUUCUCAGAUAAUGUCUCAGUCACAGGCCAUCAACCAGCCAAAUCUUCUGCCGCAACCUCAGGCCAUGCAGC